Molecule: ribosomal RNA, 498 nt
Filed under: uncultured bacterium
Lineage: Bacteria
Description: partial 16S ribosomal RNA
Rfam family: Bacterial small subunit ribosomal RNA
Source: RNAcentral
AUUGAACGCUGGCGGCAUGCCUUACACAUGCAAGUCGAACGGUAACAGGUCUUCGGAUGCUGACGAGUGGCGAACGGGUGAGUAAUACAUCGGAACGUGCCCGAUCGUGGGGGAUAACGAAGCGAAAGCUUUGCUAAUACCGCAUAAGAUCUACGGAUGAAAGCAGGGGACCGCAAGGCCUUGCGCGAACGGAGCGGCCGAUGGCAGAUUAGGUAGUUGGUGGGAUAAAAGCUUACCAAGCCGACGAUCUGUAGCUGGUCUGAGAGGACGACCAGCCACACUGGGACUGAGACACGGCCCAGACUCCUACGGGAGGCAGCAGUGGGAAAUUUUGGACAAUGGGCGAAAGCCUGAUCCAGCCAUGCCGCGUGCAGGAUGAAGGCCUUCGGGUUGUAAACUGCUUUUGUACGGAACGAAAAGACUCUUUCUAAUAAAGAGGGUCCAUGACGGUACCGUAAGAAUAAGCACCGGCUAACUACGUGCCAGCAGCCGCCGUAA